Molecule: ribosomal RNA, 291 nt
Filed under: uncultured prokaryote
Description: partial 16S ribosomal RNA
Rfam family: Bacterial small subunit ribosomal RNA
Source: RNAcentral
GUGUCAGCAGCCGCGGUAAUACGUAGGUGGCAAGCGUUGUCCGGAAUUAUUGGGCGUAAGGGCUCGCAGGCGGUUCCUUAAGUCUGAUGUGAAAGCCCCCGGCUCAACCGGGGAGGGUCAUUGGAAACUGGGGAACUUGAGUGCAGAAGAGGAGAGUGGAACUCCACGUGUAGCGGUGAAAUGCGUAGAGAUGUGGAGGAACACCAGUGGCGAAGGCGACUCUCUGGUCUGUAACUGACGCUGAGGAGCGAAAGCGUGGGGAGCGAACAGGAUUAGAAACCCCCGUAGUCC